UUCGGGGUCUCUGUGAAGGUGCUGCAUGGUUGUCGUCAGCUCGUGCCGUGAGGUGUCGGCUUAAGCGCCAUAACGAGCGCAACCCCUUUCCCUAGUUGCCAUCGGUUUUGGCCGGGCACUCUGGGGACACUGCCUCCGCAAGGAGUGAGGAAGGUGGGGAUGACGUCAAAUCAGCACGGCCCUUACGUCCGGGGCUACACACGUGUUACAAUGGGUGAUACAGAGGGCCGGCCGCUGGCAACAUCGGUCCAAUCCUUAAAGUCAUCCUCAGUUCGGACUGGGGUCUGCAACCCGACCCCACGAAGCUGGAUUCGCUAGUAAUCGCGCAUCAGCCAUGGCGCGGUGAAUACGUUCCCGGGCCUUGUACACACCGCCCGUCAAGCCAUGAAAGCCGGGGGCGCCUGAAGUCCGUGACCGCGAGGGUCGGCCUAGGGUGAAACCGGUGAUUGGGGCUAAGUCGUAACAAGGUAGCCGUACCGGAAGGUGCGGCUGGAUCACCUCCUU
RNAcentral lists this ribosomal RNA (504 nucleotides) under uncultured bacterium. RNAcentral's name for it is "bacterial SSU rRNA". It matches the Rfam family "Bacterial small subunit ribosomal RNA", at positions 1020 to 1532 of the family's 1533-position model. The record is from RNAcentral.